AAGAGAAGGGAGUUCGCUCCCGUGGUUUCGGCCCUUACUCUUCACCCUUUGUUUAUAAAUCUCUGUUGCUUUGGCGGGCCAUGGUUUUCCAUGUCGCUUCAUUUCGACAAGUGUCCGCCAAAGGAUUUUAAAAUCUUUAUUUUUGCUGUCCGAAUAACAUAUAAAUUACUA
This 171-nucleotide unclassified non-coding RNA is filed under the name uncultured fungus. RNAcentral describes it as "sequence contains ITS1, 5.8S rRNA gene". The record is from RNAcentral. Lineage: Eukaryota; Fungi.